RNAcentral lists this transfer RNA (63 nucleotides) under Diaphanes citrinus. RNAcentral describes it as "tRNA-Phe". Lineage: Eukaryota; Metazoa; Arthropoda; Insecta; Coleoptera; Lampyridae. The record is from RNAcentral.
ACUUUAAUAGCUUAUUUAGAGCGUAAUAUUGAAGAUAUUAAGGAAAUUGUUUAUUUUAAAGUA